Molecule: ribosomal RNA, 478 nt
Filed under: uncultured bacterium
Lineage: Bacteria
Description: partial 16S ribosomal RNA
Rfam family: Bacterial small subunit ribosomal RNA
Source: RNAcentral
GACGAACGCUGGCGGCGUGCUUAACACAUGCAAGUCAAACGGUAAGGCCCUUCGGGGUACACGAGUGGCGAACGGGUGAGUAACACGUGGGUGAUCUGCCCUGCACUUCGGAAUAAGCCUGGGAAGCUGGGUGUAAUACCGGAUAGGACCCUGGGAUGCAUGUCCUGGGGUGGACAGCGUUUGCGGUGUGGGAUGGGCUCGCGGCCUAUCAGCUUGUUGGUGGGGUGAUGGCCUACCAAGGCGACGACGGGUAGCCGGCCUGAGAGGGUGACCGGCCACACUGGGACUGAGAUACGGCCCAGACUCCUACGGGAGGCAGCAGUGGUGAAUAUUGCACAAUGGGCGCAAGCCUGAUGCAGCGACGCCGCGUGAGGGAUGACGGCCUUCGGGUUGUAAACCUCUUUCAGCACCGACGAAGCGCAAGUGACGGUAGGUGCAGAAGAAGGACCGGCCAACUACGUGCCAGCCGCCGCAGUAA